Molecule: ribosomal RNA, 566 nt
Filed under: Hanseniaspora uvarum
Lineage: Eukaryota; Fungi; Ascomycota; Saccharomycetes; Saccharomycodales; Saccharomycodaceae
Description: eukaryotic LSU rRNA
Rfam family: Eukaryotic large subunit ribosomal RNA
Source: RNAcentral
GUCCUGGAUACUUGUACGGCGAGUGAAGCGGUAAAAGCUCAAAUUUGAAAUCUGGUACUUUCAGUGCCCGAGUUGUAAUUUGUAGAAUUUGUCUUUGAUUAGGUCCUUGUCUAUGUUCCUUGGAACAGGACGUCAUAGAGGGUGAGAAUCCCGUUUGGCGAGGAUACCUUUUCUCUGUAAGACUUUUUCGAAGAGUCGAGUUGUUUGGGAAUGCAGCUCAAAGUGGGUGGUAAAUUCCAUCUAAAGCUAAAUAUUGGCGAGAGACCGAUAGCGAACAAGUACAGUGAUGGAAAGAUGAAAAGAACUUUGAAAAGAGAGUGAAAAAGUACGUGAAAUUGUUGAAAGGGAAGGGCAUUUGAUCAGACAUGGUGUUUUUUGCAUGCACUCGCCUCUCGUGGGCUUGGGCCUCUCAAAAAUUUCACUGGGCCAACAUCAAUUCUGGCAGCAGGAUAAAUCAUUAAGAAUGUAGCUACUUCGGUAGUGUUAUAGCUUUUUGGAAUACUGUUAGCCGGGAUUGAGGACUGCGCUUCGGCAAGGAUGUUGGCAUAAUGGUUAAAUGCCGCCCG